Molecule: ribosomal RNA, 218 nt
Filed under: uncultured bacterium
Lineage: Bacteria
Description: partial 16S ribosomal RNA
Rfam family: Bacterial small subunit ribosomal RNA
Source: RNAcentral
ACGCUCGACACCUACGGGAGGCAGCAGUGAGGAAUAUUGGUCAAUGGGCGCAGGCCUGAACCAGCCAAGUAGCGUGAAGGAUGACUGCCCUAUGGGUUGUAAACUUCUUUUAUAUGGGAAUAAAGUUUUCCACGUGUGGAAUUUUGUAUGUACCAUAUGAAUAAGGAUCGGCUAACUCCGUGCCAGCAGCCGGGGUAAUCUGAGCGGGCUGGCAAGGC